AAACCAUUUGAACCUCAGGAGAGGCAUAUAUUGCUAUUAAGUAAAUGCUAUCCUGAUGUGAUCCCAACACCUGCCAUUAAAGAUGGCCUCGAAUUCUUUGCUGCUUCUCCUAAUGAAAGGUGGAAGAUAAUUCCCCUCACCUGGAGUCUGGGUUGGUCUUAGCGACUUAUCUGACCAAUAAAAUGUAGGAGAAUUAGUGUUCCGGAACUUAUGGGGCUAGGUCACAAAAAGCCUUGAGCCUUAAAGUUUCCACCCACACCUUUUGGAGACACUCCCUCUGGAAACCCAGCUGCCAUGCUGUAACUCAAGCACAAUGGAGAGACAAUAUGUCAGUGCUCAAACCAACAGCCACAGCAAAGUCCCCUGCCAAGAGCCAGCAUCAACAGUCGACCACCCCAGCCCAGACACAGGAGUAAAGAAGCCAUCCUAGAAGUGGAUCCUCCAGCCCCAGCCACUUCAACUGACAUCCUAUGGAUCAGAGACAAACCACACAGUGAACUGAACAAAAUAACCUAAACGAUGGAAGCCAUUGGUGAAACGAAUCCGGAUGGAGCUUAUCAAAUGUGAAUGGCCCAGAGUGUGGAAAACCAGUGCCCUCAGAAAUGAAAGAAAAGGUUCAAUGGCCCUGGUAUGAUGAAUCGCUUCUGGCAAAAUUUAAUUCUAAAGAAAUGGCAAAGAUAAUAACAUACUUUCACAGAAAAAGUUUGUCCUGAAGAAGGGCCUCUCCCCUUUUGACUCUCAAAACAAUUUUAGAACCAAGCAUUAGCUUUAAUCCAGCGCUCUGAUCCAGACUGGCACAAAAAGGAAUAAAAGGGCUCAACUACGAGGAGGCCUGAAAAAGGACAACUGCCCACAGCCCCAUCAAAGGGCUGAUUGAGAAUAAAAAGAAAUUGAAAGGGAAAAGAUAAAGACUCAAGGAACAAAAACUGCCGUGUCAAUCUCAUUCAAAAUCUUUAUUUUUGUCUAAUCACAUUUCUUAGAAAAUAUUUUUUAUCUUCUUUGGUAUUUUUUUAACUUCUCAUUUGAUAAGCUAUUUUUAAAAACACAAUGAAAAUGUUGGCUACAUGUGAGACUCAAGGGAAGAAAGGGUCAGAAAAUAAAGAAGCUGUAGCAGGCCCAGGUCAGGUACUCUGAGACACGUGACAUGGACCAGAACCAAGAACUGGUAUUGGGGACAGAAGAGCCUAGCAAUUAACAGCAUGGACUGGAGGGCCAGACUAUCGGUGUUCAAAUCUCAGCUCUGCUACUACCAAGUUAUGUGACCUUGGGCAAUUCAUCUAACACUUUCAUUUGUAAAAUGCAAGUAACAAUAAUAGUGCUGACCUCAAAGG
This is a long non-coding RNA of Neofelis nebulosa (Clouded leopard), 1331 nucleotides long. RefSeq lists it as uncharacterized. Lineage: Eukaryota; Metazoa; Chordata; Mammalia; Carnivora; Felidae. The record is from RefSeq and is a predicted model, not a curated record. The transcript has 4 exons.